AUUAGAGGCCUGAUUAAAGGAUUAUCUUGAUAGGGUAAAUAAAGUAAACCAUUACCUCUAUUA
Molecule: transfer RNA, 63 nt
Filed under: Paropaon sp. OR337
Lineage: Eukaryota; Metazoa; Arthropoda; Insecta; Orthoptera; Acrididae
Description: tRNA-Ile
Source: RNAcentral